RNAcentral lists this non-coding RNA (23 nucleotides) under Arabidopsis thaliana (thale cress). Lineage: Eukaryota; Viridiplantae; Streptophyta; Magnoliopsida; Brassicales; Brassicaceae. The record is from RNAcentral.
GGAGGAACCGCGUGUUGGUGAUG